GGUAAAAUGGCCGAGCGGACAGGCGGCGGGCUGUAGACCUGCCUAGGGGGUUAGACUCCUCUUUUAUCA
This 69-nucleotide transfer RNA is filed under the name Enyalioides microlepis. RNAcentral describes it as "tRNA-Tyr". It matches the Rfam family "tRNA". From Rfam's summary of the family: Transfer RNA (tRNA) molecules are approximately 80 nucleotides in length. Their secondary structure includes four short double-helical elements and three loops (D, anti-codon, and T loops). Further hydrogen bonds mediate the characteristic L-shaped molecular structure. tRNAs have two regions of fundamental functional importance: the anti-codon, which is responsible for specific mRNA codon recognition, and the 3' end, to which the tRNAs corresponding amino acid is attached (by aminoacyl-tRNA synthetases). tRNAs cope with the degeneracy of the genetic code in two manners: having more than one tRNA (with a specific anti-codon) for a particular amino acid; and 'wobble' base-pairing, i.e. permitting non-standard base-pairing at the 3rd anti-codon position. Lineage: Eukaryota; Metazoa; Chordata; Lepidosauria; Squamata; Hoplocercidae. The record is from RNAcentral.